GGCGAACGGGUGAGUAACACGUGGGUGAUCUGCCUUGCACUUCGGGAUAAGCUUGGGAAACUGGGUCUAAUACCGGAUAGGACAGCUGUUUAGUGUCAGUUGUGGAAAGUUUUUUCGGUGCAAGAUGAGCUCGCGGCCUAUCAGCUUGUUGGUGGGGUAAUGGCCUACCAAGGCGUCGACGGGUAGCCGGCCUGAGAGGGUGUACGGCCACAUUGGGACUGAGAUACGGCCCAG
Molecule: ribosomal RNA, 234 nt
Filed under: uncultured Actinomycetales bacterium
Lineage: Bacteria; Bacillati; Actinomycetota; Actinomycetes; Actinomycetales
Description: partial 16S ribosomal RNA
Rfam family: Bacterial small subunit ribosomal RNA
Source: RNAcentral